GAUCAUGGCUCAGAUUGAACGCUGGCGGCAGGCCUAACACAUGCAAGUCGAACGGUAACAGGAAGCAGCUUGCUGCUUCGCUGACGAGUGGCGGACGGGUGAGUAAUGUCUGGGAAACUGCCUGAUGGAGGGGGGAUAACUACUGGAAACGGUAGCUAAUACCGCAUAACGUCGCAAGACCAAAGAGGGGGACCUUCGGCCUCUUGCCAUCGGAAUUGUUGCCCAGAAUGGGAGUUAG
RNAcentral lists this ribosomal RNA (238 nucleotides) under uncultured bacterium. Its description in RNAcentral is "partial 16S ribosomal RNA". It matches the Rfam family "Bacterial small subunit ribosomal RNA", at positions 15 to 248 of the family's 1533-position model. The record is from RNAcentral.